This 460-nucleotide ribosomal RNA is filed under the name Fusarium oxysporum f. sp. lycopersici. RNAcentral describes it as "eukaryotic LSU rRNA". The stretch from base 107 to 260 matches the Rfam family "5.8S ribosomal RNA". The record is from RNAcentral. Lineage: Eukaryota; Fungi; Ascomycota; Sordariomycetes; Hypocreales; Nectriaceae.
UGCCUCGGCGGAUCAGCCCGCUCCCGGUAAAACGGGACGGCCCGCCAGAGGACCCCUAAACUCUGUUUCUAUAUGUAACUUCUGAGUAAAACCAUAAAUAAAUCAAAACUUUCAACAACGGAUCUCUUGGUUCUGGCAUCGAUGAAGAACGCAGCAAAAUGCGAUAAGUAAUGUGAAUUGCAGAAUUCAGUGAAUCAUCGAAUCUUUGAACGCACAUUGCGCCCGCCAGUAUUCUGGCGGGCAUGCCUGUUCGAGCGUCAUUUCAACCCUCAAGCACAGCUUGGUGUUGGGACUCGCGUUAAUUCGCGUUCCCCAAAUUGAUUGGCGGUCACGUCGAGCUUCCAUAGCGUAGUAGUAAAACCCUCGUUACUGGUAAUCGUCGCGGCCACGCCGUUAAACCCCAACUUCUGAAUGUUGACCUCGGAUCAGGUAGGAAUACCCGCUGAACUUAAGCAUAUCA